Molecule: ribosomal RNA, 472 nt
Filed under: uncultured bacterium
Lineage: Bacteria
Description: bacterial SSU rRNA
Rfam family: Bacterial small subunit ribosomal RNA
Source: RNAcentral
UGGGGAAUAUUGGACAAUGGGCGAAAGCCUGAUCCAGCCAUGCCGCGUGUGUGAAGAAGGUCUUCGGAUUGUAAAGCACUUUAAGUUGGGAGGAAGGGCAGUAACCUAAUACGUUUCUGUCUUGACGUUACCGACAGAAUAAGCACCGGCUAACUCUGUGCCAGCAGCCGCGGUAAUACGUAGGGACCAAGCGUUGUUCGGAUUUACUGGGCGUAAAGGGCGCGUAGGCGGCAAUUCAAGUCAUCUGUGAAAUCUCCGGGCUUAACUCGGAACGGUCAGAUGAUACUGCUUUGCUAGAGUGCAGAAGGGGCAAUCGGAAUUCUUGGUGUAGCGGUGAAAUGCGUAGAUAUCAAGAGGAACACCUGAGGUGAAGACGGGUUGCUGGGCUGACACUGACGCUGAGGCGCGAAAGCCAGGGGAGCAAACGGGAUUAGAUACCCCCGUAGUCCCUGAGCGGGCUGGCAAGGCGCAU